Lolium rigidum is the source of this 6401-nucleotide RNA transcript. It is a transcript of the gene named probable LRR receptor-like serine/threonine-protein kinase At2g24230, with no coding region annotated. The transcript has 2 exons. The record is from RefSeq and is a predicted model, not a curated record. NCBI's taxonomy places the organism in Eukaryota, Viridiplantae, Streptophyta, Magnoliopsida, Poales, Poaceae.
UCUCAGCCUCUAUUGCUAUCACACGACUCUCCUAUUCCCCUUCCUCUUCUCUGUUCCGCGGAAAAGUCUCCUCUGAUUCAGCUUACCUCCGCCACCUCCGGCGUUGCUGCACACCGGCGCGAGUUCGUCUCCCUCCUAGAGUUCCCCGCUGAUUACCCGCCGUGGAUUACCCGCUGCGGAUGCGUUUUGCCAUCGCACGAACCCCGUGGCAAACCCUAGACGUCCGCGUCGGUGAUAUGGCGCGGGCUAACCAUGGGCAGCGGCUGGGCCCGCCUGCGCUGCACCACGACGACCUGCUCCUAUGGACACCCGCGCUAUCUCAGUAUCCCUCUCUCGGCUGGCCUCUAGCAUCGCUGCUGGAUUUAUCCAGUGAUGUUGCUCAGCAACAUCUUCAUUGACUCCAGCGUCGAUGGGACAGCGGUGUUGUGGCCUCAAUUGACAGUUAUAGCGAAAACUCCGUCCACCUCCGCGGCUCUGUUUUUACUGUUGAGGCGCCUAUGGCGCCGCCAUCGAGAGAUUCGUUGGAAAAGGUUGGAACAGCUCCGGCCUCUUCCCACCCUUGCAGCAAGACUCCCAUCCAGGUGUACCAGAAUUCGUUUUGGUCAUGUUGUUGGCCAUAUAGGUGGUCCUGUGCGAUGUGCUCACCAACGAAGCUAUGGAUAUGAACAAAUCUUCAAUUCUCGGCUUGACGCUGUAACAAACCAACGAGUAAUACAAUUAUUUCUUCUUUUUCCUGCUAUGAUAUCUGAAUUAAUGUGCACUGUCGAUAUAGAAUUAUGCAACCUCGAUUCAUCUUAUUUUCAGUACUCCCUCAAUCCCUUUAGUCUUUCUACUUUGCUAAUAUCUGAUGCUAAACCAUGGUUUAUUGCAUAUGGAAUUAUGGAUCAGGUAUCCCUUAUGCAUGUCUUCUUAGAGUUUUUUCAUUCUGUAGGUUAUAGGAAAAUAAGUUGACCUGCUAAUGACUUGAGAUAAACAAGUGCAGCUGAUACGAAAACAAGCCUAAUUUGUUCUCCACAAUUUUCAAGUUUCCUGAUUGUUUGUAUGCUAGAAGUCUCAUAGUUCCCCUUUUUUUUGUACCAAUAUUGAGGUGGUGUGCUUAAUUUUGUGUGUCCACAUAAAGUUGGAACCACUCCUAAAUUUCCCAUCUAAUCAUGUUUGAUCGUAGAUAUAAGGAGGUUAGGUACAAUCAGAUAUUAUGCUCAUGCUCUUAUGUCUUCUAUAUUUAAAGGUCCAGUUAUUACAGAUCUUUGCAUAUCAAUCUUAUAUUUAUAAUUUUGCAUAGUAAGCAUAGAAACUACAGAUCUGUGGAUACAAAUCUUGUGUUUGUAAUUUUGCAAAAUAGGUUAGAAGCUUCGUCAUAUGUUUUGGCUAUUAUAUUUAUUUUCUCUUCAAAUAUGGGAAUCCAAUUACUGAUUUUGCAUCUCCUGUCUUUAUAACUUAGCAAACAACAUCAUACUAAUAUAUAAAGAACAGCCACAAGAUCUACAAAAAUGGGAAGGUCAUAGGUAAGAGGAGCCAAGAGACGAUGACAUCAGUAACCAAAUUCAAGCAAUGAUGAAUAUGAUAAGCUGAUGUUUCUACAUCCAUAUUGAUGUCACUUACACAAUUGUUACCCCCUAAUUUUGCUAUUAUGUCAUGCAUUGUGUCAGUUAUUUGUUCAGCGGGUUCUGCCUAUUUAUAUAUACUUCGAAGUAAUGUCAAGCCAAAAAACAUGCAUAAUGCAUCUUCGGGGUGUGUGGCCUGCAUAGUUUUGGCUAUGGAGUUCUGUUACUUGGCUCACCCUCGGUCUAGUGUGUUUCCAUACCUUGCCAUUUUAUUGCUUCAGCCAUAAGGAUUGACCUUUCUUACCACAAUUUAAUAUUGGAGCCCCUAGAAGUAUGAAUUUGUAUCCAAUACAUCAUGGAGUAUUCGUUCUAAUAUUUGUAGAUAAAUUAUUGUUUUCUUUCAUCUGUGCAUGGAUCAAUCCCACAAAGAGAAAUAUAUGUGUACUCAUUAUCAUUUUUUCUGCCAUUUGAUUUUCUCAGGAUAUUUGCAAGAGAAGUCGACCUACCCCGCUUGUGAAUGAUGCUAUCAUGAAAAGUAAAACUAAAAUUUAGUGUUACUAUAAACUUUUGAAUUUGAACAUGAUCGAUAAGUUUUUGUUGAUUCCUUCCAACAAACGAACGUGGCACCUAAUCAUAAAAAUGUGGUUAUUUAUUUUAACUAGAGGCAAAGGUGUGAGGUCUCUGCAGCAUUUGGUAACAAGUUCAGUAUCAAGCUAGGGCACCACAAACGCAAACAAAAAAAAUGCAGCUAUACAAAACGGGCGCAGCAACGCGUGUAGGGUCCAUCUAGUAUCUUUGAACAAGUAAAGUUCUAGAAAGACUGGAUGCCUCAUAUCGCAGGUAAGCGCUGAAGCCUCUCCACAUGUAGUAUACUUAGCAGUAUCUCAUGCAGUAACAAAUGCAUAAUACAUCAGUCUGGAUUGUUUUACAGCCUUGCUUUUUUCAGCCUCAACCUACAUUUUUUUUACAUGAGCCUCAACCUACUUGCUUCACCUAUGAUGGUACAGUCCUCUUUCUUUUUAACAAUGAUAAUUGACCUGGCAUCUACUGCCAUAACAAAAUAUUUUAAUUAUGUCAGAUACCGUAAGCCGAAUGAUUUUGCACUACUGGAAGCUUAAUUAUGUUUGGAACAUCAGUCAUACAUCCGUUGUAUGCUCAGAUUAUAUUGCUGUUGUUUGUCCAACCUCUUUCACUCAAUCUCUUUGAAUUACAUGCUUCAUACCAUGUACAGUAAAACAGGCUCCUCAUUGAUGGAAUGACAAAUUUUCAUCUAUACUUUUCCUGCAAUUCUAAUUCUGGAUCCCAUAGUGAUUUCUUUUAUCAAAUUAUUAAUGUGAUUUCCUUUCUCUCAUAAUUUUUUGUUGUCACAUAUUUUAGUUAGAACUAUAUUUCCAAUGAAGACAAGCAACACUUUUUUUAUUUUCCAAAUAAGGCAUUUGAAGCUUGGCCCAUCUUUCUUUUUUCUCCGAAGAUGAACACUCAUGUGGUUCUAUCAUCUUGUUCAUUUAACAGUUUGGUGAUUGGAUGCAAAGUUGGGCACAGGUAAGAAAGACACACCAUUUCUGGCCUUUGUAUUGCACUGCACCUUUGCAAAGGAUGAUUGAAAGAAUAGAUGCAUUUUUGGUUAAAUCAUUACAAUAGCCAAACUGUUAAAGAAUCGUGCUAUUUAUUGAAAAUAACCCAAUUGUUAAAAAUCUGUUAUCUGUUUAAGAACCUGGACCAACUAAAUGAUUAUGGGAACCUGAACUAAAAUCAUUUUAUGUGCAUGGACCCAACCUGUCGUUUACUUAUUUUUACUAUUUAUUUUGUCAUCCUGUGCAGAGCAAUAUGGUUGCUAUUUAUUUUGUCAUCUUUGGCAUCAUAGUUGCUAUUUAUUUUGUGGCACCAAAAUUCAUGCUAUUCUGUAGCUUUUGAUGGCUAGCUCACGUCUCUUCCAUCUAAAGGGAUUCCGUGCUCCAGUGGUUGCUGGAUAACGUAAGUUGGUUUCCUUUGACCUCAAGAGUAAGGAUUAUGGAUCUGAACUCAUUUUGCUUGAACGGGUAGAGCCUUGUACAGAUGGUUACUGAAGUUUGAUGUUAAGUGCCUUUUAGCGACCUCACUGCUUUUUAUUUAGUACUAGAUGGUUACUAAAUUUGACGGUGGUCCUGGCUACAAUCUUUGUGCAGUGGUUCUAUUCCAAAGUUCUUCUUAGGUUAAGUUGCUUUUCGGUUGCAGCUUAUAGCAAGAAAUUAGCUUAAUUCAAGGUAGACUUUUCUUCAAGUUAUAUAAUGGAACUUGGUUACCACUUAGCAGUUAAGCACUUGCUAAUAGCAUCAUUGGUCGUCUUAUCCGAACCGUGAACAUUUUGUGUUAUCUGCUCAUAUAUAUAAAAAUGUACAUAGUUUUCUAUUUUCAUACUUAUGCUUCCGGAUGAAUGCAAAAUUUGAUAGUGGACAUGAAUAUAAAUGUGUUUGUAGUACUUAUGGUCAUCAGAAGUUUUUCCCACGAUGUCUUUUCUGAUCAUAUUCUAGCAAGGGUUUCAUAUAGUUUAUCUAGGAGUGUUAGCUUCUAUUUUUAGUACAUAUUUCAACACAAUUAGCGUGUUAUGGAACCAUUCAUUCAAUAAAUAUUUCUUGUUCAUCUCUAAAUUAAAUCACAUACUGCUUUCAUUAGUAUUGCUUAGCGCUCUUGCACAUCAUUUGGGUCAAUAGUUCAGUCAGUGUAAUGUAUUUUCCCUGUACACAUUAACAAAAAAUACUAUACAUUGUUUACUGUAGGGAGAGUGGCGGAUGAAGUAGGGUUCCCUGGACCAUCCCUACGGGUGUCGAUCCAAACAAACUAAUUGGUAAACUUCUUGAGCUUGUAGUUAAAAGGAAUUUAUUUAUUUUGGUUUCACAAGUAGUAAAUGAAACCAUGGUUUAAUAACUUCUUGCUAAAUUUUGUUUUGAGAAAUACAGACAUUGUUCUGAAGUAUAAUAAGUAUUUUAAGUAUACACAUAAACCACUCUUGACAUUUACUGUACCAUUUGAAGGGCAAUCAAAUUAUAUUAUGUUCUAGAACAUAUGGUUAUGCAAGAAUUGUGUUGCAGACCCUAUGGUCACUGAUUAUAGUACCAAUUUAGUGAAAAUUCAUGUUUAAUGGAGAAAUUCAUUUUAGUGGAAUUGUUCAUGCUUAAUCAAUUUUGUACUUGGGUGGAGAUAAGCGAUGACUUACAAAGUUUAUGAACUCAUGUUCUCACUGGAGACUCAUCAAGCAUUUGUAUAUCUUUUCGAAGUUGUCAAGCCAUCUUCAUCGGUAAAUGACCUUGCCUUUUAGCCAGAUGAGCUUGUGCUUUGGAUUAUUUUAUAGUGGUUUAGCAUGACAAUAUUGGAACUCUGCUAAAGUUGUGGUCAUUCAAUUGGCUAACCUGAGUGCCUGACAGACAUGACUGAGGCAAAACAUAACAGACCUAACAAAGGUAGGUGAGUUCAGAAAAAUAAGGUAGGCGAUAUUUUGUACUCCCUCCAUCCCAUGAAAGUUGUCUUAGAUUUGUCUAAAUUUAAAUGUUUCUACAUGCUAGAUAGUGUCUAUAUGUAUUCAAGUUUAGACAAAUAAUCUAAGACAAGUUUCAUGAGACGGAGGGAGUACAUCGCAAGGUAAUUUCCUCCACACGAACUAGAAUUUUGGGCCAAAUUUUGGAGAGUAUAGAGUGGGCUUGCAGAGUAAUUCAUUCAACCAGAACACCAUUUUUUCAAAAGGGUAGUAACUCAAAUCUUAGUGCAAGUGUAGCUAACUGAAGUAGUGACACAUCAGCAGCCACUGCAGGCUGGAUGAAACACUUGCUCUCUACACCCUUAUUCACAUGUAGGUCCACACGCGCUUAUACUCUCCCUUGCAAGCUAAAUCUAGCGGUUGUUGCCUUUACUUGAAAGAUUGCAUCCCUCUUCUGACGACUCAUUGAGCAAAAAAUACAAUCUUGCUCUUUCAAAAUCGUGGUGCAUUUGCUCUGCUUGUGUUUGACAAAAUGAUCGUGCAAUUACUUUAGAUCUUUUCUGAAUAAUUUUUUCCUUAGACUCUCAGUUUAGUGUUCAUAUUUUGCCGGAGCUUCAGUGCUUGAUGACCUAACAUUCAGUUGUUUCACUUAUAUCCCAAAAAUACUUUGUUGUCUCUGGACUUGACUACUAUUGACUGUUAGAUAACUUCAAAUUAUUUUGGUUGGUAUUCUGGCUCAACAUUUAAUUUAUUUCCAGGGUGCAAUACUGCAGUUUUUAAUCGAUUACCAACAAGUGAUGGUGUAAUGUACUCUUCAGCUAUUCAGAACUUUCUGAACUUGAGUGAGAUUCUGCAAAAAAUAAAAUAUUUAAGGAGACAAUGCUCAUUAUCUAUUUCAAUCUAGAUUAUCAAAAAGAUGAGUGUGUUUGUCAUCAAGUGAAAAACUCUUGCGAUUUAUUUCAUUGUCAAUUGAUAUUGAAGGAUCCAUGUUUGUGGUGGACACAUUAAAUUUUUGCUCUUUUCUUAUGGCGGCAUCCCAUUAUAAAAGGAUAAUUAGGUGUGUUAUGUCCAUUACCAUGACCUCCAUUGAUAAUAGUACGAGCUCUCUUUUUCAGUUUUACUAUUGUAAAUCAAAUUCUACUCACAAAACCGCAAGGAAGGUGCAGUGCUGGACUUGCAAGACGAGUAGCACAGAUGGAGGAACGAGUGGAAACCGAGGCAAAGACAACAUAUUGUUUUGAAUUUGGAAUACUGCUGGAGCAAGUGGGGUUGGGUGAUGUUGAGCUAGAAGUUGUAUGGCAGAGACAUUCAUGUUAAUAUAUUUCUAGACCAAAAUCUGCAUAACUGCACUGAACAUGACACUCAAAUAUAUUUGGUGACACCGACAUCUGUUAGAAUUAUGAAUU